GGCCCUAUCGUCUAGUGGCUAGGACACAUGGUUCUCAUCCAUGAAACGAGAGUUCGAUUCUCUCUAGGGCUA
This 72-nucleotide transfer RNA is filed under the name bacterium. RNAcentral describes it as "tRNA-Glu". It matches the Rfam family "tRNA". Rfam says of the family: Transfer RNA (tRNA) molecules are approximately 80 nucleotides in length. The record is from RNAcentral.